Molecule: ribosomal RNA, 474 nt
Filed under: uncultured bacterium
Lineage: Bacteria
Description: bacterial SSU rRNA
Rfam family: Bacterial small subunit ribosomal RNA
Source: RNAcentral
GAUGAACGCUGGCGGCGUGCCUCAAACAUGCAAGUCGAGCGGGGCUAUGUAAUAUCGCAAGGUAGAACAUAGCCUAGCGGCGAACGGGUGAGUAACACGUGGGUAACCUGCCUGGAAGACAGGGAUAACGAUUCGAAAGGGUCGCUAAUACCUGAUAAUAUCCUUUCAUCGCAUGGUGAUAGGAAGAAAGGGGAAACCCGCUUUCAGAUGGGCCCGCGUCCCAUCAGCUAGUUGGUAAGGUAAGGCUUACCAAGGCGACGACGGGUAGCCGGUCUGAGAGGAUGUACGGCCACACUGGGACUGGGAUACGGCCCAGACUCCUACGGGAGGCAGCAGUUGGGAAUCUUAGGCAAUGGACGAAAGUCUGACCUAGCGACGCCGCGUGAGGGAAGAAGGGCCUUCGGGUUGUAAACCUCUGUCAGUGGGGAAGAAGUAAGUGACGGUACCCAAGAGGAAGCCCCUGCUAACUACGUG